RNAcentral lists this ribosomal RNA (729 nucleotides) under uncultured bacterium. RNAcentral's name for it is "bacterial SSU rRNA". It matches the Rfam family "Bacterial small subunit ribosomal RNA", at positions 43 to 786 of the family's 1533-position model. The record is from RNAcentral.
CAGGCCUAACACAUGCAAGUCGAACGAAACGCAGGUCUUCGGGCCUGUUGUUUAGUGGCGAACGGGUGAGUAACACGUGAGAAACCUACCCUGGAGACCGGGAUAACCAGAGGAAACUCUGGCUAAUACCGGAUACCCUCAGAUAGCCGCAUGGCCAACUGAGGAAAUGCUCAGGUGUUCUAGGAGGGUCUCGCGGCCUAUCAGCUUGUUGGUGGAGUAACAGCCCACCAAGGCAACGACGGGUAGCUGGUCUGAGAGGACGAUCAGCCACACUGGGACUGAGACACGGCCCAGACUCCUACGGGAGGCUGCAGUGGGGAAUAUUGCGCAAUGGGCGAAAGCCUGACGCAGCAACGCCGCGUGGGGGAUGAAGGCUUUCGGGUUGUAAACCCCUUUCGGCAGGGACGAAACUGACGGUACCUGCAGAAGAAGCCCCGGCCAACUACGUGCCAGCAGCCGCGGUAACACGUAGGGGGCAAGCGUUGUCCGGAUUUAUUGGGCGUAAAGGGCUCGUAGGCGGUUGCGUAAGUCGGAUGUGAAAACUCAGGGCUCAACCCGGAGAUGCCAUCCGAUACUGCGCUGACUAGAGUCCGGUAGAGGAGCAUGGAAUUCUUGGUGUAGCGGUGAAAUGCGCAGAUAUCAGGAGGAACACCAGUAGCGAAGGCGGUGCUCUGGGCCGGUACUGACGCUGAGGAGCGAAAGCGUGGGUAGCAAACAGGAUUAGAUACC